This 494-nucleotide ribosomal RNA is filed under the name uncultured bacterium. Its description in RNAcentral is "partial 16S ribosomal RNA". It matches the Rfam family "Bacterial small subunit ribosomal RNA", at positions 28 to 504 of the family's 1533-position model. The record is from RNAcentral.
GAUGAACGCUGGCGGCGUGCCUAAUACAUGCAAGUCGAGCGAACAGACGAGGAGCUUGCUCCUCUGACGUUAGCGGCGGACGGGUGAGUAACACGUGGAUAACCUACCUAUAAGACUGGGAUAACUUCGGGAAACCGGAGCUAAUACCGGAUAAUAUAUUGAACCGCAUGGUUCAAUAGUGAAAGACGGUUUUGCUGUCACUUAUAGAUGGAUCCGCGCCGCAUUAGCUAGUUGGUAAGGUAACGGCUUACCAAGGCAACGAUGCGUAGCCGACCUGAGAGGGUGAUCGGCCACACUGGAACUGAGACACGGUCCAGACUCCUACGGGAGGCAGCAGUAGGGAAUCUUCCGCAAGGGGCGAAAGCCUGACGGAGCAACGCCGCGUGAGUGAUGAAGGUCUGCGGAUCGUAAAACUCUGUUAUUAGGGAAGAACAAAUGUGUAAGUAACUAUGCCCGUCUUGACGGUACCUAAUCAGAAAGCCACGGCUAACUAC